GAGAGGGGCUUCGGCCCCAAUUGAGUGGCAAACGGGUGAGUAACGCGUGGGUGACCUACCUUCGAGUGGGGGAUAACGUCUCGAAAGGGACGCUAAUACCGCAUGACAUCCUGCCUUUGGACAGGCGGAGAUCAAAACCGGGGAUCGCAAGACCUGGCGCUUGGAGAGGGGCCCGCGUCCGAUUAGCUGGUUGGUGAGGUAACGGCUCACCAAGGCUUCGAUCGGUAGCCGGCCUGAGAGGGCGGACGGCCACACUGGGACUGAGACACGGCCCAGACUCCUACGGGAGGCAGCAGUGGGGAAUUGUUCGCAAUGGGCGCAAGCCUGACGACGCAACGCCGCGUGGAGGAUGAAGGUCUUCGGAUUGUAAACUCCUGUUGAUCGGGACGAACAUCCAUCGGGAUAACACCCCGGAGGACUGACGGUACCGGUUGAGGAAGCCCCGGCUAACUCUGUGCCAGCAGCCGCGGUAAUACAGAGGGGGCAAGCGUUGUUCGGAAUUACUGGGCGUAAAGGGCGCGUAGGCGGCCACCUAAGUCAGACGUGAAAUCCCUCGGCUCAACCGGGGAACUGCGUCUGAUACUGGGCGGCUUGAAUUCGGGAGAGGAAUGCGGAAUUCCAGGUGUAGCGGUGAAAUGCGUAGAUAUCUGGAGGAACACCGGUGGCGAAGGCGGCAUUCUGGACCGACAUUGACGCUGAUGCGCGAAAGCCAGGGGAGCAAACGGGAUUAGA
Molecule: ribosomal RNA, 732 nt
Filed under: uncultured Acidobacteriota bacterium
Lineage: Bacteria; Pseudomonadati; Acidobacteriota
Description: bacterial SSU rRNA
Rfam family: Bacterial small subunit ribosomal RNA
Source: RNAcentral